AACGAACGCUGGCGGCAGGCUUAACACAUGCAAGUCGAGCGAAGACUUCGGUCUUAGCGGCGGACGGGUGAGUAACGCGUGGGAACGUGCCUUUCACUACGGAAUAGUCCCGGGAAACUGGGUUUAAUACCGUAUACGCCCUUCGGGGGAAAGAAUUUCGGUGAGAGAUCGGCCCGCGUCUGAUUAGGUAGUUGGUGGGGUAAUGGCCUACCAAGCCGACGAUCAGUAGCUGGUUUGAGAGGAUGAUCAGCCACACUGGGACUGAGACACGGCCCAGACUCCUACGGGAGGCAGCAGUGGGGAAUCUUAGACAAUGGGGGCAACCCUGAUCUAGCCAUGCCGCGUGAGUGACGAAGGCCCUAGGGUCGUAAAGCUCUUUCGCCAGGGAUGAUAAUGACAGUACCUGGUAAAGAACCCCGGCUAACUCCGUG
This 431-nucleotide ribosomal RNA is filed under the name uncultured bacterium. RNAcentral describes it as "bacterial SSU rRNA". It matches the Rfam family "Bacterial small subunit ribosomal RNA", at positions 29 to 507 of the family's 1533-position model. The record is from RNAcentral.